CCUACGGGAGGCAGCAGUGGGGAAUAUUGGACAAUGGGGGCAACCCUGAUCCAGCCAUGCCGCGUGUGUGAAGAAGGCCCUCGGGUUGUAAAGCACUUUCAGUGAGGAAGAACGCCUGGUGGUUAAUACCCAUCAGGAAAGACAUCACUCACAGAAGAAGCACCGGCUAACUCCGUGCCAGCAGCCGCGGUAAUACGGAGGGUGCGAGCGUUAAUCGGAAUUACUGGGCGUAAAGCGCGCGUAGGUGGCUUGAUAAGCCGGUUGUGAAAGCCCCGGGCUCAACCUGGGAACGGCAUCCGGAACUGUCAAGCUAGAGUGCAGGAGAGGAAGGUAGAAUUCCCGGUGUAGCGGUGAAAUGCGUAGAGAUCGGGAGGAAUACCAGUGGCGAAGGCGGCCUUCUGGACUGACGCUGACACUGAGGUGCGAAAGCGUGGGUAGCAAACAGGAUUAGAUACCCCUGUAGUC
This 465-nucleotide ribosomal RNA is filed under the name Vreelandella stevensii. RNAcentral describes it as "partial 16S ribosomal RNA". It matches the Rfam family "Bacterial small subunit ribosomal RNA", at positions 338 to 795 of the family's 1533-position model. Lineage: Bacteria; Pseudomonadati; Pseudomonadota; Gammaproteobacteria; Oceanospirillales; Halomonadaceae. The record is from RNAcentral.